UCAUGACAUCUUGUCUGGUCCCCAUGAU
This 28-nucleotide non-coding RNA is filed under the name Mus musculus (house mouse). The record is from RNAcentral. Lineage: Eukaryota; Metazoa; Chordata; Mammalia; Rodentia; Muridae.